RNAcentral lists this ribosomal RNA (329 nucleotides) under Alteromonas sp. RNAcentral's name for it is "bacterial SSU rRNA". It matches the Rfam family "Bacterial small subunit ribosomal RNA", at positions 98 to 436 of the family's 1533-position model. The record is from RNAcentral. Lineage: Bacteria; Pseudomonadati; Pseudomonadota; Gammaproteobacteria; Alteromonadales; Alteromonadaceae.
GCGGACGGGUGAGUAAUGCUUGGGAACUUGCCUUUGCGAGGGGGAUAACAGUUGGAAACGACUGCUAAUACCGCAUAAUGUCUUCGGACCAAACGGGGCUUAGGCUCCGGCGCAAAGAGAGGCCCAAGUGAGAUUAGCUAGUUGGUAAGGUAACGGCUUACCAAGGCGACGAUCUCUAGCUGUUCUGAGAGGAAGAUCAGCCACACUGGGACUGAGACACGGCCCAGACUCCUACGGGAGGCAGCAGUGGGGAAUAUUGCACAAUGGGGGAAACCCUGAUGCAGCCAUGCCGCGUGUGUGAAGAAGGCCUGCGGGUUGUAAAGCACUUU